Paramormyrops kingsleyae is the source of this 231-nucleotide long non-coding RNA. RefSeq lists it as uncharacterized. The record is from RefSeq and is a predicted model, not a curated record. NCBI's taxonomy places the organism in Eukaryota, Metazoa, Chordata, Actinopteri, Osteoglossiformes, Mormyridae.
GCUCAUCCUCCUGCAUCAUGCAGGGAUUAGAUCGUCUUGCCCGGGAUGAACUCCGUGGAAGACGCUGUGGUCUCACCAGGAACCGGGGGCCCCCUUGUGUCCUGAAGCUGAAAAAUUAGUUUGGUGUCAGAUUGAUGUCCCCGCAGGUGAGUAUCAAGGUAAAUAAUAAGGUAAGUAAAAGUUUUGUGUGAAUAUUUUCUUAUAAAACAAGAAGAAAGGAACAAAAAACUG